Molecule: ribosomal RNA, 1201 nt
Filed under: bacterium CSMCRI-1085
Lineage: Bacteria
Description: bacterial SSU rRNA
Rfam family: Bacterial small subunit ribosomal RNA
Source: RNAcentral
AUGAGGAUCACGAUUCCGGACUCCUUACCGGAGGCAGCAGUGGGGGGAAUAUUGCACAAUGAGGGAAGCCUGAUGCAGCCAUGCCGCGUGGUGUGAAGAAAGACUUCGAAUUGUAAAGCACUUCCAGUCGUGAGAAAGGCAUAUGGCGUUAUAGCGCAUGUGUUUGACGUUAGCGACAGAAAGAAAGCACCGGGCUAACUCCGUGCCAGCAGCCGCGGUAAUACGGAGGGUGCGAGCGUUAAUCGGAAUUACUGGGCGUAAAGCGCAUGCAGGCGGCUUGUUAAGCCAGAUGUGAAAGCCCGGGGCUCAACCUCGGAAUAGCAUUUGGAACUGGCAGGCUAGAGUCUUGUAGAGGGGGGUAGAAUUUCAGGUGUAGCGGUGAAAUGCGUAGAGAUCUGAAGGAAUACCGGUGGCGAAGGCGGCCCCCUGGACAAAGACUGACGCUCAGAUGCGAAAGCGUGGGGAGCAAACAGGAUUAGAUACCCUGGUAGUCCACGCCGUAAACGAUGUCUACUUGGAGGUUGGUGUCUUGAACACUGGCUUUCGGAGCUAACGCGUUAAGUAGACCGCCUGGGGAGUACGGUCGCAAGAUUAAAACUCAAAUGAAUUGACGGGGGCCCGCACAAGCGGUGGAGCAUGUGGUUUAAUUCGAUGCAACGCGAAGAACCUUACCUACUCUUGACAUCCAGAGAACUUUCCAGAGAUGGAUUGGUGCCUUCGGGAACUCUGAGACAGGUGCUGCAUGGCUGUCGUCAGCUCGUGUUGUGAAAUGUUGGGUUAAGUCCCGCAACGAGCGCAACCCCCAUCCUUGUUUGCCAGCACGUAAUGGUGGGAACUCCAGGGAGACUGCCGGUGAUAAACCGGAGGAAGGUGGGGACGACGUCAAGUCAUCAUGGCCCUUCCGAGUAGGGCUACACACGUGCUACAAUGGCGUAUACAGAGGGCGGCCAACUCGCGAGAGUGAGCGAAUCCCAGAAAGUACGUAGUAGUCCGGAUUGGAGUAUGCAACUCGACUCCAUGAAGUCGGAAUCGCUAGUAAUCGUGGAUCAGAAUGCCACGGUGAAUACGUUCCCGGGCCUGGUACACACCGCCCGUCACACCAUGGGAGUGGGCUGCACCAGAUGUAGAUAGCUUAACCUUCCCGAGGGUGUUUACCACCCGGAGGUUCGCGGCGGUGGGACGCCUCCCCAGAUUACGAAAU